CGCCCGUCACACCAUGGGAGCUGGUAAUGCCCGAAGUCGGUUUUGUUAACUACGGAGACAACUGCCUAAGGCAGGGCCGGUGACUGGGGUGAAGUCGUAACAAGGUAUCCCUACGAGAACGUGGGGAUGGAUUACCUCCUUUCUACGGAGUACAAAAGUUACAGUUCAUUUUAGUAACAUUUACCAACUUAAAAGACUAUUAUAAUUUGUCAUGGAAUUUGUUUUAUAGUCGCAAAUAUAUCUAGUUUUGAGAGAACUUUUCUCUCGUAUUUGUUCUUUGAAAACUGAAUAGUAAAGAUAUUAAAUAUAACAACGACAUCAAUAAAUAAAUUAGUCAAUUUGUUUUGUGAUACCGAGUUAAUUAUUAGUAAUAAUAAUUUAUUAAAAUGUCUUUGAAUACAUCAACAAUAGGUUAUAUAUUGAACUUUUAAAUAAGUAAGAGUGAGUUGUGGAUGCCUUGGGUCUGGAAGUCGAUGAAGGACGUGAUUACCUGCGAUAAGCCUCGUGGAGCUGGAUAUAAGCUACGAAGCGGGGAUUUCCGAAUGGGGAAACCUAGUUAGAGUAAUUUCUAACUGCAUUGGAAUGAAUCUAUAGUUCCAAACAGCGAGACACGUUGUGAACUGAAACAUCUUAGUAGCAACAGGAAGAGAAAAUAAAUAAUGAUUCCAUUAGUAGCGGCGAGCGAAAUUGGAAAAGCCCAAACCAACUUUUAGUUGGGGUUGUAGGACUAUCUACAUAAAGUUAUAAAUCUUUAUCAUAGCAGAAAAAGUUGGGAAGCUUUGGCGCAGAGGGUGAUACUCCCGUAUGCAAAAUGAUAGAGACUUUUGAUAGUAUCCUGAGUAGGGCGGGGCACGUGAAACCCUGUCUGAAUCUGCCGGGACCAUCCGGCAAGGCUAAAUACUAACCAGACACCGAUAGCGAACUA
RNAcentral lists this small RNA (925 nucleotides) under Mycoplasmopsis mustelae. RNAcentral's name for it is "bacterial LSU rRNA". The stretch from base 426 to 925 matches the Rfam family "Bacterial large subunit ribosomal RNA", at positions 1 to 497 of the family's 2925-position model. The record is from RNAcentral. Lineage: Bacteria; Bacillati; Mycoplasmatota; Mycoplasmoidales; Metamycoplasmataceae.